Molecule: ribosomal RNA, 360 nt
Filed under: Clostridioides difficile
Lineage: Bacteria; Bacillati; Bacillota; Clostridia; Peptostreptococcales; Peptostreptococcaceae
Description: bacterial LSU rRNA
Rfam family: Bacterial large subunit ribosomal RNA
Source: RNAcentral
UAAUGAUGGGUAGGGGAGCUUCCCAUACGGGUUGAAGCAUGACCGUAAGGACAUGUGGACACUAUGGGAGUGAGAAUGUUGGCAUGAGAAGCGAGAAGUGGGUGAGAAUCCAACAGGCCGUAAACCCCAGGUUUCCAGGGGAGGGUUCGUCCGCCCUGGGUUAGUAGGGACCUAAGCUGAGGCCGAAAGACGUAGGUGAUGGACCACAGGUUUAUUUUCCUGUACUACCGCAAAUCGUUUGAUGGAGGGGAUGACACAGCAAGAUAAGCUUAAGACCCUGAAGGAUGUGCGUGCCAAAGCAUUGAGGCGAUACACGGAGGCAAAUCCGCGUUGAGAAUGCGCGGAGUGGCUGGGGAGCGA